Podarcis lilfordi (Lilford's wall lizard) is the source of this 74-nucleotide non-coding RNA. Lineage: Eukaryota; Metazoa; Chordata; Lepidosauria; Squamata; Lacertidae. The record is from the annotation of a GenBank genome assembly.
GGAGGGUCAUUGCUCAGUAGCAGAGCAUCCGCCUCGCAAGCAAAAGAUCCCAAGUUCAAUCCCUGGCAUCUCCA